Molecule: ribosomal RNA, 415 nt
Filed under: uncultured prokaryote
Description: bacterial SSU rRNA
Rfam family: Bacterial small subunit ribosomal RNA
Source: RNAcentral
GUGUCAGCCGCCGCGGUAAUACGGAUGGGGCAAACGUUGUUCGGAAUUACUGGGCGUAAAGAGUGCGUAGGCGGUUCGGUUAGUCUGGUGUGAAAUAUCCUCGCUCAACGAGGAAACUGCACUGGAAACUGCCGAGCUCGAGGAUGGGAGAGGCAGGUGGAAUUCCUGGUGUAGCGGUGGAAUGCGUAGAUAUCAGGAAGAACACUCGUGGCGAAGGCGGCCUGCUGGCCCAUUUCUGACGCUGAGGCACGAAAGCCAGGGGAGCGAACGGGAUUAGAUACCCCGGUAGUCCUGGCCGUAAACGGUGAACACUGGGUGUCGGGGGUAUCGACCCCCUCGGCGCCGGAGCUAACGCGUUAAGUGUUCCGCCUGGGGAGUACGGCCGCAAGGUUGAAACUUAAAGGAAUUGGCGGGG